GCGCGGUUAGCUCAGUGGUAGAGCGUCUCGUUGACGUCGAGAAGGCCGAAGGAUCGUUCCCUUCACCGCGCA
RNAcentral lists this transfer RNA (72 nucleotides) under bacterium. RNAcentral describes it as "tRNA-Val". It matches the Rfam family "tRNA". From Rfam's summary of the family: Transfer RNA (tRNA) molecules are approximately 80 nucleotides in length. The record is from RNAcentral. RNAcentral also lists the same sequence under 1 other name.